Molecule: ribosomal RNA, 432 nt
Filed under: uncultured bacterium
Lineage: Bacteria
Description: bacterial SSU rRNA
Rfam family: Bacterial small subunit ribosomal RNA
Source: RNAcentral
AGCGAACGCUGGCGGCAGGCCUAACACAUGCAAGUCGAACGAACUCUUCGGAGUUAGUGGCGGACGGGUGAGUAACACGUGGGAACGUGCCCUUUGGUACGGAAUAACUCAGGGAAACUUGAGCUAAUACCGUAUGUGCCCUUCGGGGAAAGAUUUAUCGCCAUUGGAGCGGCCCGCGUCUGAUUAGCUAGUUGGUGAGGUAAAGGCUCACCAAGGCUACGAUCAGUAGCUGGUCUGAGAGGAUGAUCAGCCACAUUGGGACUGAGACACGGCCCAAACUCCUACGGGAGGCAGCAGUGGGGAAUCUUGCGCAAUGGGCGAAAGCCUGACGCAGCCAUGCCGCGUGAAUGAUGAAGGUCUUAGGAUUGUAAAAUUCUUUCACCGGGGACGAUAAUGACGGUACCCGGAGAAGAAGCCCCGGCUAACUUCGUG